Molecule: non-coding RNA, 336 nt
Organism: Vicia faba (fava bean)
Lineage: Eukaryota; Viridiplantae; Streptophyta; Magnoliopsida; Fabales; Fabaceae
Source: the annotation of a GenBank genome assembly
CCACUCUCUUAUGCUUCUUACACUUUCCUUUCCACCCUCAUUUACUCAUCAAAACACAGCAAAUUUGCUCAACAUAACACUCAAAACACAAGCACCACACCAACUUUCUCAUUUUACCAAAAUUGUCUCAAAUACCCUUUAACGGUCUCAAGCCUAAAAAAUACACUCCUACCCACACUCUUCUCACUCUUCAUAAGCAACCUCACUCUUCAUUCACCACAAACACACGCACCCUUCAUUGCUCAAGUCAGAAUCCUCACAUCACUCUUCAAAUAUUUUCUUCGAAUUUCUCUCAACCUCUUGGCUCAGAUCUCAAGCUUUGUGCAUUUCUACUAA